This 13584-nucleotide long non-coding RNA is filed under the name Olea europaea subsp. europaea. The record is from RNAcentral. Lineage: Eukaryota; Viridiplantae; Streptophyta; Magnoliopsida; Lamiales; Oleaceae.
GCUACAUCUUCGGCCAACGAAUUGUCGACCACCCAAUAAAACCUGAGGUUAGAUUUUUAAGAUUUACUCUUAUGCAUUUUAGCUAUUUGGUUGCUAAAAAUUCUUGAUUUCUUUAAUUUUUUUGCACUAGAGUUUCUACCCAACCCUCCAGUCAACUCUUUAAGGUCGAAGAACAUGAAAGGAAUGACGUAAAUGUUAGAAAAUCAAAUUAGAUCCAAAUAUAAAUUAAAUCACAGGAUCAACAUCAUGCUAAAUUACUAGAAUUCACAUAUUCAGAUAAUAUACCUGUAUUCAUUGUAAACGAUUGCCUACUGUUGCGGAAUUACUGCGACGAUCGACUACGUACCGAUAAAUACAAAUGAAGAUGGUGGUUUUGUGAUCUUCCUCAACCAAAUUUCCUAAUUCCUCAAUGGGACCGUGAUUUCUCUUCUUGAUGGGGAGAAGGGAAAAGAGUGUAUGAUUUGGUAUAUUUGGGGAUCAUAACCAAAAUAACAUUUAUAUACUACUUAAUUAAGGUUCCCAUUAUCCCUUAAUUAGAGUAAUAUUAGCCGGUAUCUACUCACUUAAUCCAUAUUAAUUUGAGUAGUCUAUGGGCAUACAAAAAAUAGACCACUUGAUUUUUGCCCAUUAUAUUAAAUAGCUAAUAUAAUUGUAUUAAUAUGUUGUCAAUAUUAAUUUAGAAAAAUCGUGUUUUUCUAACAAUCUCCCACUUGGCUACAUAUUAUUCCUUAAACAAUUAUAUUACAAAACUCCUUAGGCGCGCAUCUGUAUGCUAUUUAUCAUUAGACUGCUCCUUAAACAAUCUUGUCCAUCUCAUAUACUAAUAAUAGAACCACCGCAACUUUCAUCACAAUACAUUAGUGAUUAAACCACGAUGAUCAACAUAUUAAUACACUUAAUGACAUAGAUCAAAUAUGGAUAAGUAGCAUGGAAAUUUACAUGAAAUGUGAUCUCAAACAUGCCUAUUUCCAACUGGUCCUUCUUUAGUCUUUAGUAAGAUCAUUCCAAAGUCCUUAAUGCAAUGCAAACAUUGCACAAUGAAAACACAAGCAAACUCAGAAAUAGAAUCAUAGGCCAUCAACUUUAUUUUUGCAGAAGGUUAAAUAAUUUAAUCUCUAAAGCAAACAUAUAGAACAUAAAAUUGACUCCCACUAGACUAGAAUAUCCUCGGAAAUAAUGCCCAUGUGAGCAGUGUGCUCACGAAAGACCUUCGGCGUUAAGCCCUUGGUUAGUGGGUCCGCUAGCAUGGAAUUUGUUCCUAUAUGUUCUAUGAAAAUCUGUUUAUCUUGAACUCUCUCCUUAACAACUAGAAACUUGAUAUCAAUGAAUUUCGACUUUGUCGAACUCCUUUUGUUGUUGGAGUGAGUUAUUGUCACAAUAAAUCUUUAAUGGCCUGUCAAUGCCAUCUACCACUCGUAGUCUAGUGACAAAGUUUCGUAGCCAUAUUCCAUGGUUGGAUGCCUCAUAACAAGCAAUGAACUCCACAGCCAUGGUUGAAGAAGCCAUGAGAGUCUGUUUAGCAGACUUCCAUGAGAUAGCUCCUCCAGCCAACAUAAAGACGUAGCCUGAUGUGGAGCGUCUGCUAUCGGCAUCCCGCAAAAUCGGAGUCAGAGCAAAAUCGGAGUCAGAGAACCCGAUGAUCUCUAAACUAUCUGAUCUCCGAUAAGUGAGCAUGUAGUCUUUUGUUCUCCUCAAAUAACGCAUCACGCGUUUGGCUGCUUUCCAAUGUUGCAUGCCAGGAUCACUCAAGUAUCUACCCAAAACUCCCACUAUAAAUGCUAUGUCGGGAUGAGUACAAAUUAGAGCGUACAUUAGACUCCCUACCACUGAUGCAUAGGGAAUCUUCUGCAUCUCUUCUCUUUCAAGAUCAUUAUUGGGGCACUGUUUGAGACUAAACUUGUCUCCUUUAGAGAUGGGCGUGUCUCCUGGUCUACUAUCUUUCAUGCCAAAUCUACUCAAAACCUUAUCGAUAUAGCUCUUUUGUGAAAGUCCAAGGAUACCUCGAGAACGAUCUCUCAGUAUCUGAAUACCUAAUACAAAAGAAGCAUCCCCAAGAUCUUUCAUCUCGAAUUUCUUCGUCAGAAAUUUCUUGAUUUCAUGCAAUAAGCCUAUAUCGCUGCUAGUGAGUAGAAUAUCAUCAACAUAUAAUACCAAGAAGAUAUAUUUACUCCCACUGAACUUAUGAUAUACACAGCAUCAACAACAUUUGCCUCAAAACCGUAUGAGGUAAUGAUUUGAUGGAACUUGUGAUACCAUUGACGGGAAGCUUGUUUGAGACCGUAGAUGGAUUUCUUCAACUUACAAACCAUAGACUUUGGAUCUCCUGAUACAAAACUUUCUGGUUGUACCAUGUAAAUCGUCUCAUCAAUGUCUCCAUUGAGAAACGCAGUCUUGACAUCCAUCUGAUGUAGCUUUAGAUUAAAAUGAGCCACUAGUGUCAUUAUUGUUCUAAAAGAGUCUUUCGAAGAUACCGGAGAGAAAGUCUCUUUGUAGUCUAUGCCUUCCUUUUGAGUAAAGCCUUUAGCGACUAGACGAACUUUAUAUCUCUCGACACUGCCUCUUGAAUCCCUCUUGGUUUUAAAUAUCCACUUACAACCAAUGGGCUUCACACCUUUAGGCAACUCGACGAGAUCCCAAACGUUAUUAUCUUUCAUAGACUUUAUCUCAUCUUUCAUGGCAUCAAUCCACUUCUGAGAGUUAGAACUAUGCAUGGCCUGAUGGAAGUUGAUCGGGUCAUCCUCCGUAAAACCAACGCCAUCCUCAUGUUCUUGAAGAAAGACGAUAUAAUCAUCUGAAAUCGCAUUUCUUCUCUCCCUAGUGGAUCUCCUUAUAGCACUUCUUGAGGUUGUUGAGUUUGUUCUAGAGGUGGUGCUUGAGGAAGAAUCUCACUGUUGUCUUGGUCUGAAACAAUGUCAGGAAUAGGAGCCUGAACAUUGUCAUCUAUUGCCAGAACUGUGUCUUGAACAACGAUAGGUACAGAGACCUGAUUGCUAUCAAUAACAGAUUCUUCUUCAAAGACAACGUUCCUUAUGUUUCCUUCCCCUCCAAACUCAAUAUUCUCAAGGAAUCUCGCAUUUCCCGUUUCAAAGAAGGAUCAUGAUGUGGGAUAGUAAAACUUAUAGCCCCGAGAGCAUUCAGCGUAACCAACAAAAUAGCAGCUAACCGUCCUUGAGUCCAGUUUUCUUUCAUGUGGCCUAUAAGGCCGUACCUCAGCUGGACAACCCCAAAUGUGCAAGUGCUUAAUGCUAGGCUUCUUGCCUGUCCACAGCUCAUAAGGGGUUUUGGCAACUGUCUUGCUUGGUACCCUGUUAAGAAUGUACACUGCGGUCUUCAAAGCUUCUCCCCAAAGUGACUCUGGUAAGGAGGAAUGACUUAUCAUACUCCUUACCAUAUCCUUAAGAGUUCGGUUUCGUCGUUCUGCAACACCAUUCAUACUAGCUUUGCCCGGCAUGGUGUAUUGCGGAAUAAUUCCACACUCAUUGAGGAAAAUAGCGAAGGGUCCUGGACGUUGUUCUCCCGAUCCAUCAUAUCUUCCGUAGUAUUCACCACCACGGUCAGAUUUGACAGCCUUUAUUUUCUUUCCAAGUUGAAGUUCAACUUCAGCUUUAAAGACUUGAAAACAUCCAGGGAUUGAGACUUCUCAUGUAUUAAAUAUAGGUAACCGAAUCUAGAGUAAUCGUCUAUGAACGUAAUGAAGUAUUGUUGUCCAUUCCAAGAAGCCGUAGGGAAUGGGCCACAUAUAUCAGUAUGUAUCAGUUCUAAGACGUCUGUAGCUCUCUCGGCACCUAAUUUUCUCAUGUUUGUUCUUUUACCCUUGAUGCACUCAACACAAACUUGGAAGUUUGUUAAAUCUAGGAGUUCAAGAAUUUCAUCCGACACAAGCCUCUGAAUUCUCUGCUUAGAGAUAUGACCUAAACGCUUGUGCCAUAAAGUGACAGAAUUCUCACUUAAUUUUCCCUUUGUACCACGUGAACUUGUUUGCAGUAUUUCGUUAUAGGAACUAACAAUAUCAAGUAUAUACAGAUUAUCAAUCAUAUAACCGGAACCAACAAAAUUUGAAUUUUGAUAGAGACUAACUUUAUUAUUUCCAAAUGAACAAGAAAAUCCUGAUUUGUCCAAAUUAGAAAUAGAAAUUAAAUUCCGUCUAAAGGACGGUGCAACAAAUGUCUCAAACAAAUCCAAAUAAAACCCAGUUUUUAAUUGUAAUCUGAAAGUCCCUAUAGCCUCUACCGCAACUUUAUUGCCAUCGCCCACAAAGAUGAAUCUUUCAGCAUCAUUUGGCGAUCGGCUCCACAGGCAAUCCUGCAUGGACAUACUUAUAUGAGUAGUAGCACCAGAAUCUACCCACCAAGUAUCCUUAGGUACAGAAGCUAAAUUAACUUCAGAACAAACUAAAGUUAGAAGCAUACCCUUCUUUACACGCCAGGCAGCGUAUUUGGGACACUCCUUCUUCAUGUGUCCCGACUUCUUGUAGAAGUAGCAGGUAAACUCCUUAUCCUGCUUCUUUUGCUUCUUCUGCUGAGAAGUUCCUUCCACAGCAUCCUUAGCUCUCUUCUUUUUCUUGUUCUGAGAGGUUGAGGCCAAGUGAGCACUCUCAGUCUUAUCACGUUGUUGCCUCUUUUCUUCUUGCACACAGUGAGAUAUAAGCUCAUUUAGGGACCAUUUGUCCUUCUGAGUGUUAUAACUCACUUUGAAUUGCCCAAAGUGCGCAGGAAGAGAGAUCAAAAUCAAGUGCACGAGCAAGUCAUCAGACAGCUCCAACUUAAGCGACUUGAGUUUUGAUGCGAGAUGAGACAUCUCCAUGAUGUACUCUCUUAUGUUCCCUUUGCCCUUAUACUUCAGGGAAACGAGUUUAGCCAAAAGGUUACUCGCCUCCGAUUUUUCAUUCUUGGCAAAAUAUUGCUCAAUUUUUUCAAGGAGCUUCUUGGCACUCCCGCUCUCAGUAGUAGAGCCCCGAAACGCUUCCGGAAUGGAACGUUUCAUGAUCAUCAAGCACAUCCAGUCAGAGCGAUCCCACUUUUCAAUUUUGCCCUCAUUGGGGUUUUCUGGAGUAGAAGCGGGUCGAUCUGAACGAAGUGCAAGAUCCAAAUCCAUACAGCCGAGGACAAUUUCCACAGCUUCUUUCCAAACUUUAAAGUUCGUCCCGCUCAGCAUUGGGAUGUUGCUGACUUGAGCAGAGACGUUCACAGCAUUAACAACAGAAACUGUAUAGAGAACAAAAUAAGCAAGCAUGUCAAAUAAGAAAAUUAAGACACGCACAAAUAAUCCAGAUUUUGGGAUCCAUCUCAAGAUACCUAGUACGACAUUAAUUCCUAGUCUUUGGACAGAGAAAUUAACUGUAAUUGGUACUCUUGGUGCAAUGAUCAAACAUUGACAAUCAAUUCUGUCAAAUAAUAGCCUUUCUUUGGACCGGCUAUUAUUCACAUGAAAUGUCUUUAUAAUUGUCACACAUUUGUCAUCACAAACACGUUGUUAUUUGGCCAAAUUGUGUCUUCCUUUGAGCCGAGCACAAUUCACAUAAAUAACUCCGUACAAAACAUCUAUCUAUUUUCAAUUAAAUCAAUCUACACAAUAGGGAUUACUUUGACAACAUGUUGCUUUAAUCAAUUAAAUUGAAUAUACUAGACAUCCAAAGGGAACAAUCAAAACCAAAGUUUUGAAUUUAUUUUAAAACUUAAAAUUGGAAAAACUGAAUUCUGAAAUAUGAAUGGGCUGAACAAAAUGAAUCAAUUUUCAAUUUUAUGUCUACCACAAUCUGUUUCUAAUUCCUUCAUUAUAAAAAGGAUAUAUAUAUAUAUAUAUGAUUUUUGGGUCUUCUUUUUCUUCUGACAAAGUUUGUUUUUCUGAAUUAUUGAAGAUCUGGUCAUGUGCUAAGAUUAUGGCGUGCCACUGAUGAAAAUGACAUUCCACUGUCUGAAUUAUUGUAUCCUUCUUCCUGUGGAUCUUCAUCUGAAAGCCUGGAGUUACUGGCUUCAUCUUUUUCUUUCUGAUCUGGACAUUCUGCAAUUCCUUUUUCUUCUUCAUGACUCUUUUUUAAUAUUGUCUCAAAUGCUUGGUUAACUGCUUCUCUUAUUUGUUCUUUUAGUUCUUCAUCAUUUUCCUUCUUCUUAAUCUUUUUCUUUUUUCUAGAAGAAGUCCCUUUAGAUUGUUUUUGAAGUUUUUCAAUUUUUUCAAAGAUCUUUUCUAAUGAAGCUGUAUUUGGAUUAGGAUCUUGUGAAUCUUGGAAAAAUAAACAUUCUUGACUAUCUUGGACUACCAUUUUUUCUUUUCCCUUACUUGACUGAAUUUCUUGGACUUGUGAAAGUUCUGGAUUAUUUGAAAAGUGUUCUGAAGAAAAAUGUUCUGGUGGACUAUACUUUACUAAGUAGUCAAAUUUUCCACUAGGCUGUCCUAAAAGAUUCCAAAUCUCUUUACCUUUUUCUGUAGCAGAUUUAUCAGUCUGAUGAACUUGAUUUUGAAAUGGUUCAUUUUGUUCUAUGGCAAUACAAUAUGUUCUUAUAGUUAUUUCUUUCUUAGAUAUAAUGAAUAAUUCAAAACUAUCUAAUGCAUAAUUAAUAGCUAAUAAUUCUACAUCUAUACUGCUUAAAUUUCCUUUUUCCUUAUAAUUUUCACUAUUAUACCUACAAAUUCUUUCUGUACUUUUAUCAGUGUAUUUAUUGGGUUUGCAUAUUAAAAUAGCUCCCCAUCCUAUCAUACUUCCAUCUGUUUCUAUAAUUAGGUAUUUUGAGUCUAAAGACAUAACUAAUUCUGGUAGAGUUUUUAUUUUUUCUUUUAUUUGUUGGACUAAUUUUAUAUCUUCUUGAUUAAAAAAUCUUUGUCCUGUAGGAGAUGUCUUUGCAUAUAAAGGUCCUGCUAUUUUUCCUAAAUCUUUUAUGAAUGGUCUAGCAUAAUUUAUUAAUCCUAAAAAUUUUUGUAUUUGUUUUAGAUCUUCUAGUUUAUCUGAAAAUUCUAAAACUUUCUUAGCAAUAUGAGGUUGUAACUUUAUUUUACCUUCUCCUAUAUUAACUCCUAAAAAAUCUAUAAAUUCUUUAAAUAAAAUCAUUUUCUUCUUACUGAUUAUUAAACCAUGUUUAAUAAAUUCUGAAAAUACUAUUUGUAAAUGUCCCCUAUGUUCUUGUUUAUUUUUACUAAAUACUAAAAUAUCAUCUAUGUAUACUAUUACAAACUUACUAUGUCUAUUAAAAAUAAUUUUCAUUUUUUUUGGAAAAUACUUGGUGUAUUCUUAAUUCCAAAUAGCAUUACAAGCCAUUCAAAAUGUCCUUCUGGACAGGUAAAAGCUGUCCAUUUAAUACUUUCUGAGUGCAUCUUCACUUGCCAAAAUCCUGAUUUUAAAUCAAGUUUGCUAAAGAUUUUACAAUCUUGUAUUUUAUUUAUUAACACUGUAUUAUUUGGUAUGUUAUAAGUAUCAUCUAAUGUAUUGUCAUUAAGUCUUUUAUAAUUGAUAACCAUUCUACUUUUUCCUCUAACAAUUUCUGAAUGUUUUCUGACUAUAAAGGCUGCUGAUCUAUGAGGACUUUCUGAUUUUCUAAUUACUCCUAGCUCCAAGAGUUCUUUUAUAUGGAUUUUAAAAUCUUCUAAGUCUAAGUUUGUAGCUUCUAUAUUCUUAGUUUUAAUUAUGUAUUCUGGAUUUUUUAUUUUUAGUUCACAUAAGAUUUUAUCUUUUUUCCAAUAUUUUAGAACAUUUUCACCUAUAAUUUCCAUCUUUUCUAAUCUAGAAAUUAAAUUUUCUAUUUCUUGUUCGAGAAUCCUUAAUCCAGAAAUACUAUAUAAUAGAGGAAUUUUUGAAACAAGAACACAAUUUUUUAGACAUAGUAGAGAAGUAUCUAUCCAAUGUAUAGGAAACCAAGUAAGAAAAUUAAAUUUAAUAUCAGAAGACUCUAAAAGAGAAUUAAAAAAGAAAAAUUUUAGAUUUAUGCAUUUAGGAUUAAUAGUUAUAAGAAUAAAAUGAUUAAUGAGAAAAAACUUAGGAUGUAAAGUUUUAGUUACUAUAUAUGAUGAAAGAAUUAAUAAUAUAGAUAAAAGCAUGAUUGCAAGUACUUCUUCAGGAUUAGUUUCUUCUUCAAAAUCAUUUUGUCUUUGUACCUGAUUAUAAUCUAAAAAUCUUAAACUAGUUCUUCCAUGAAUAUCUUUAUAGGUUAAUGCUUCCUGUGGUGCUAUAAUUGUUUCUUGAUUUUCUAAAAAUUUAUCCAUAUCCCAUUAUAAUCCUGCUAAUUGUUCUGAUGAAUAUUCUUUAGGUUUAACCAUGUUAAUUCCUUUACUACUCAUUAAAUUUACUACUUUAUCUAUGUAAAUUUUAUAUUUUGUCUGUGAAUUAUUUGAACAUCUUCCUAAAAAUCCUAUACUAAUUAAUAGGUUAUCUCCACUUUCUACCUUCUCAUAUCCUUUUGUUUGAAUUCCUAUUUUAAUUUUAUCUGAAAAGUCUUUAAUAGUUAAUAAAAAAUCUGGAUUACAAUAAAUUAUUCCAUUAUUAUUAUUCAUAUCUACUUCUGUGUGUGUGUGUGUAUAUAUAUAUAUAUAUAUAUAUAUAUAUAUUUUUUUUUUUUUUUAUUUUUUUUUUUAAACCAAAAGGCACAUGUCUUGGACCCAUUAUGAAACAAAAGUCAACAAUUGCAACUGAAUCAUAUAAUGCAAUUGAAAUUGAUCCAUUGUGAAAGGUUACAUGUAUUACCAAUCUAUACUAAAUAUGCCAAAUAGUAUUCUGUCAUACACCAUUCUAUAUUGACUCCAUUAUGAGACAUAAAACAAGGGUCAAAAAAUGCGGCUAAUCCAUACAGUUGAAAUUCUGAUUUCUGAAUCCAUAAUGAAGGUCACAGAUUUUGCAGUGAUCUACACGCUACCAAAAGUAAUGUAUCCAUUAUAAAUAGUCCAAAAUUGCUGACUUGCUCUUGAUGCAAUUGAAAUUCAUUAUAAAAUGAUCCGAAACUGCAGAUGUCUAAAAGGCAGAUGAAAUUCAGAUCCAAAAAAAAAAACUUAAAAUGGACACAGACAGAAUUUAAAAUCAAUACUAACUGUGCCAAAAAUUUUGAGAUCCGAUUUUGCCGAAUGCAUCAAGAAUAAUUCUUAAACUUAACAGUUUAAGGAAUUUCACAAAAUUCAAACAUUCUAUUCGAGAAAAAUAAUCCAAAUAUCAUACGAAUAGAACAUGCACAAAUCCUAAUAAUCUAGCAAAUGAUGACCGCUCUGAUACCACUUGUUAGAAAAUCAAAUUAGAUCCAAAUAUAAAUUAAAUCCUAGGAUUAACAUCAUGCUAAAUUACUAGGAUUCACAGAUUCAAAUAAUAUACUUGUAUCCAUUGUAAACGAUUGCCUACUGUUGCGGAAUUACUGCGACAAUCGACUACGUACCGAUGAAUGCAAAUGAAGAGGGUGGUUUUGUGAUCUUCCUCAACCAAAUCUCCUUAUUCCUCAAUGGGACCGUGAUUUCUCUUCUUGAUGGAGAGAAGGGAAAAGAGUGUAUGAUUUGGUAUAUUGGGGACCAUAACCAAAAUAACAUUUAUAUACUACUUAAUUAAGGUUCCCAUUAUCCCUUAAUUAGAGUAAUAUUAGCUGGUAUCUACUCACUUAGUCCAUAUUAAUUUGAGUAGUCUAUGGACAUACAAAAAAUAGGCCACUUGAUUUUUGCCCAUUAUAUUAAAUAACUAAUAUAAUUGUAUUAAUAUGUUGUCAAUAUUAAUUUAGGAAAAUCGUGUUUUUCUAACAGAUUUCGCAUGAAAAUUAUCCAACAUACCAUUAACUAAAAGUACAGGCACUUACUAGAAAGCUGUGCGGUGUCGAUUUUUGUGUACUUAGACCUACUAUAGUCUAUGGAUAUGUAACUUGCAAUUUUGAAUAGGGCUUUUAAUGGAGACUCCUCUACUAAUUGUGCGCGACAAUCUAAAUUGCCUAAGAAUUAUUGUUUUGUUAUUCAAAAGGUUUUCAAAGAGAGAUGUUUUUAAUGAAUUGUGGGUAAAGAGAACCAUUUAAAGAAUUUGCACCGUAUAUUACAGGAUGAUUUCAACUAUAUAUUUACAUAAUAAAAUAUUAUACAUUCAGAAUCAAAACUUUUUUCCACUUUUUAGCUAUACACUCUUUGAAAAUACUAUUUAAAACUCUUUUUCCUUAAAAUAAUGGGCACCAAAUAGUUUCUUAAAUGGUUAAUUAAGUAAUUUUAUUUAAGUUCAUUUAAGUAUACAAUAACAUUGUUGUGUAAUAAGUUUAUUUUGUGGUGGUAUUAUAGAGCCUAUUCGAGUCCCCGUGUUUAUUGAAAAAUGAAUUUUGAAAUAGAUUGAUGAAGAACGUGUGGCUAAAAAAUAAAAUAAAAAAGUUUUGAAUUUAUGUAUAAUAUUAUUUUAUUGAAUAGUGUGUGAUUUAAAAUAAGAAAGACAAAAAUAUAUUUUAGAAAGGGUAAUGAUAUUAUUACAACAAAAUUUACUUGUUACACAACAACUUUAAUCAAUUUUUUUAUUUACUUAAAUCACCUUAAUUAGAAUUACUUAAUUAUCCACGGUUUUAUAUAAAUUCUUAACAUAAACAAUUUUUUCUGGAUACACCACACUGUUGACAAUUUUAUGAAAAGAAGAAUAAACCCCAUUUGGCCCCCUUUUUUGGAAUGAAAAUGGGUGAAAUAUAUAUAUAUAUAUAUAUAUAUAUAUAUAUAUAUAUAUAUAUAUUUUUUUUUUUUUUAAAAUUAGUGAUUGAAAAAGAAGGAAAAUUUUUGAAUUACGUGUAAUAUUAUUUUAUGAAAGAUUAUGUGAUUGAAAAUAAGUGAGAAAAAAAUAAAAUAUAAUGUAAUGAGCGGGACUAAGAAAGGAAGCAAGAGGGCACCCCUUUAAUAGGCUUCACAAAUGCACAUUUCCAUAAUUUAUCCAGCAUUUGUGGCAUUAAAACGUCUGACGGUUCAUCCAAAUCCGCGACCUGAAGGCUAAAACCAUCCCUCGUAUAUUUCUCCACCUACAAGCACACUGGUGCAACAAAGCACACCUUUUUCCAUCAUGUGAUCACAAAAAGUAAAUGGUUAAUUAAUGGAAUAAAUAUCAUAAUCCCACCAGAUAAAAACAAAAAUAAAUUUGAAAAAGAAAACUAAGUGUUCGGAUGGGCACAUAUUGUUUCAAUGCCUGUUUGCUCAUAAUAGCGAGCCCGACGAGCACACCACCUAUCGUCCCUGCCUCGACUGUAGAACGCGAUCGGCCUAUCGCCUAGGGAUGUCAAUUGGGCCAAGCCGGCUCGAGGCUCGCCGGCUCGAGGCUCGCCGGCUCGGCUCGUGAAAAAUGGGCUCGUGGACGGCUCGUCGAGCCUAUCUUGUUCAGUGACCGUUUGGUCACUGAACUUUUGUUCAGUGACCNCAUUAUCCCUUAAUUAGAGUAAUAUUAGCCGGUAUCUACUUACUUAGUCCAUAUUAAUUUGAGUAGUCUAUGGGCAUACAAAAAAUAGACCACUUGAUUUUUGCUCAUUAUAUUAAAUAGCUAAAUAAUUGUAUUAAUAUGUUGCCAAUAUUAAUUUAGAAAAAUCGUGUUUUUCUAACAAUAAAACCCAGUUUCACUGUCUUUUUUUCUAGUGAAGAUUUUCGAUUGACCAAAAUUUUUUGACCUUUGGUCAGAUUUUUAAGCUUUUAUUUUGAUACAUUUAAGGUAUUUGGUGCUAGAAAAUUUUAGUUCUCUUGAAUUUUUUUCACUGGAGUCCCACCUAAACCUCCUGUUAGCUCUUUAAGGUUGUAGAUUAUGUGGUCAGUUAUUACCAUUUUCAUUUAGAAACUAUUUUUAAGUUCAGGUUUUUGAGUUCAAGUAGAUUAUGUGGGUCAGUCACAAUAUGCUUUUUUUCCAUGUCUACUUGCGAUAAUGAUAAAUUUUGUGGCAGGAACGGAAAUAAUGGAAGAUGUAAAUUAUGAUUUGUUGCUGGAAUGUGAUAAUGAGAACAUUGCAGAGAAUUUGAAUAUGUUAGACAACGAAAUGUAGGAGGAGAUGUUGUGACUGUGCCUGAAGUUGGGUAUGAUGUUCAAUGAUGAGAAAGAAAUGUUUGAAUUCUAUAAAAGCUAUGCUUAUGCCGUAGGCUUUUCAGCGAGGAAAAUGAAUUCAGAAAAAGGGAAAGAUGAAUGUCACAUGUGUAGUCGUUAAAGUUAACGAACUUAUGCUACAGGCGGCUCCUUGAAGCCACAGCCAACAAGUUAAGCGGAUUGUAAAGCAAGAAUAUCUGCAUCUUUGGAUGGUCUUGGAAUAUGGAGAAUUAAUAAAGUAUACCUAAACCACAAUCUUAAAACAAGACAUUCCAAGUUUAGGUUUUAUCGAUGCAACUGAAAAUUGAGUACGAGUGUGAAAUGAAAGCUUGAAGUAAAUGACAUGGUAGGAAUUCUCUUCCACACGUGUUAUAACUCUGCAGUGGUAAAAGCUAGUGGAUAUGAAAAAUACAACUUUUGUAGAGAAAGAUUGUCGAAAUUAUAUUGAAUUUGUGAGAUGAUUACGCCUUAGAGAAUGAGAUACCCUUGCAAUACAGGCGUAUUUUUCAAAGAUGCAAGCACUAUGCUUGAAAUUUUACUUUAGUAUUGACUUAGAUGAUGAUGUAGACUAAAGAAUGCUUUUGGGUAGAUAAUAAGUGUAGACAUAUAAGGAGUUCGGUGAUGUUCUCACUUUGAUACUACAUAUUUCACUAUAAUGGAGUGGAUAAAAUUGCAAGUAAAAGAUUUACGAAUGACAAAGUCAAGUGUAGGAAGUGUCGUCCACUCAUAGCAUAACAGCAACAACGAAAAUAUAUUAGAUCCUAUGUCGUCGAACAGAAAGGACGCAUCGAAGAAACUUCAGAGGAAAGGCCCAUUAAAGUCUAGUUUAAAGAGAGUAAGGUAUUUUUUACUAUUAGCAUCUUCGUUGAUUGAGAAUUUUAAACAAAUAAUCAUUUUACUUGUCGAAAAUGAAGGCCACCGCAUCGUUAAGCAAAGGAAAAAGGCCUCGAGCUAGGCAUAGUAAUACAGAAGAGGGAUCAAUCGAUGUCUAGGCAUCUCAACUACCACAAUGUUCUAUGUCGACGCCAUUGCAAUAUUUCGGCAGUCCGUCACCUACAAAUGUUAUAGUCAAUGCUGAAGGUAUAGCAUAUUGAUUUGUGUUUAGGAUGAGAAAUUAAUUGCUUAUUAGGUUUCUUAGGUAUUUAUUUAUGCAACUUGUCAUUUACGCGUGUUCUAUUUUUUACCUUCUAAACUAGACUUUGUCAUGCCAUACUUCUAUCAACAUUUACUCGAUCGAGGUGGCUGAGGCUUGUGAUUCUCGUAUGAAAGGUACAUGUGGACAAAUUUACUUGAUGCUAUUUUAUUUUUGGGCACUUAAGCCAUCUUUCUGUAUCAUAUGGUUGUAGUUGUGUGUAUGCUGCAGUACGAAGUGGAGAUCGUUCACAUCAUCCACUUUGAGAAGUGAAUACUGACUUUAUGACGAAAUUUCGGUGUAAUUAAUGUUGGACCUACUUUUUUUAUAAAAUAUAGGGUCGAGAAUUUGACUACGUUCUUUCAAUGUUUGUAUUGGAAAUAUAAUUAUUACAAUUUGAAGUUACUUGUUUAUGAAUGUUCAAUGUUGAGUAGCUAAUUGGCAGGCUUUAUGUGGUUGUUGAUAUGUGUUCAGAUAAGCUUUCA